CUCGUCCAAACCGCUCCCUGGUUGCUAAGGUAGCUUGCACCCUAGUACAGUAAGUUCAGUGUAUAAAAUACACCAUUUCUAGGCAGAUUCUCCCCAAUAAUCUAUUUAGUAAGUCUUUCUAAUUGGCUCUGAGCCGUUUGUAGGCAGAUGCUGCUCGUAUGAUGGGAGAGAGCGUGAGGCUGGGGCGCCGUGGGGCCGUUUCCGUUUCCGUGCUCGCUCAGGGGAGACAUCACAAUCGCUGCACGUGCCGCCGCUAUUGAUCCCACAGAUUACUCCAUUUCGCUGCUAUCGAUCAGAGAAAGAGCAAACUCUUCUCAUGGAGUAAUUGAUUGGCCACUCUCAGCCCCAAGGUUCAUUAAGGUCUCCUGCAAAGGUUGGUUACCCUCUGUUCUCCUAUAAAUACAGGAGGGUGGGGAAGCGCCGACGAACUGACACCUAAAUCUGAGCCGAAUGGAUUUAUCAGUCAGUCUGUUGGGCUGGAUUGCUAUUGAUCCUUCACCUGUCACUUCUCAUUGGUGCUAAUGGGAGCUGAAAAGCCUUCAGAAACCAGAGAUGGGGCCCUGGCUGCUCUGCAAUGCAAUCGGCCUCCUCGGCCUCAUUUUUAUUCUGGGCAUGGGUUUGCCCGGGCCACGGUUCUGUACACUGGAAAUUAACCCUUUCCUGCCUUUCUUAGCCAAUGGCCCGUUUUUAGGUUCACCCCAGCCUGGAACUUAUAUUCCAUUCUGUGCCACAGCCACACUUGUAUAUGCACCCCCAGACUUUCUGCUAAACUGUUUCACUCAGCUCCUAGGUUCAUGGCACCCAAGGUGUAUUCUAUGGCAAACCUGAUGGACUGCGAGACCUGAUUGGGUGAUUCGCGCCUCAUUAGCAACAGACCUUAGGCGCAGUCUAACAGACUUUACAUAGUUGCCCAAAGCACAAGGCUAGAAGGCAAUCUCUUCAAAGCUGCUUCUUCCAUUUAUAUCCUUUUUACUUCUAAGGCUGGGUUACCCUUCAAGUCACUCCUGGCACUUACCUGCUGGCAAACCAUAGGACCUUAGGAUGGGGAAACCUGUGCAGUAGCACCUUUUAACUGGAUCCAAGAGAUACACCUCCCUGUGUUCCACUGCUAUUUACUGACUGGCUAACAGUCCUUACAGUAGGGAAGCACCAAAUCUGCUUUUUGGAGGUUUGGUUUAGUGUAUCCCUACUUUAAGGGCCCUGACGCAAGAUUAGUCGCCCGCAAUAAACCUUCCUCUACCGUGGUUGACUUAUUUUAUUCCAAAUGCCUUCCCGCUGGCAAUAAUGUAAAUCACUGGUGGCAAAACAUAUGUGCCACUUUGGCUUUCUGAAGCCGCCCAAUGUUGUCUCACCAGGGAACUUUAGGCGACUUUCGAAAGCCAAAGCCACAUAUGUUUUCCCACCGGCAAUGUAAAAUUAAAGGCAUUGGAGGAGAUUUGUCAUAAGCGACUAAUCUCCUCAUGUGUCCGGGCCCUAAAGUCCCCCCCCAAUUGCUCCCAUAAUGCCUAGGGAGUGCUAAAUUUCCAAAAGUACCUACCAGAAUAUCCACCCUCCUCCCAUGUUGUGCCCCUUUAGUGCUUGUGAUGAGCCCCUAGUCUUUGCGGUACUCAUAAUAACCGCUUACUCUGGCAUUUAACUAAGCUUGGGCCACCUCCUGGGCUUCUGCUCUGAGUUGGAGCGUGGGUUCCUACUGGCCAAGCCGUGUAGAUGCACAUUGCUUUUUGCUUCUCAGGACUUUCUCCUUUUCACAAUGGCUACCAGGGCAAUUGAUAGAACCUCUGGCUCCUCUUCCUAUUGUGGGGGCCAAGUUUACUGUUUGCUUAGUUUAUAUCCAUUUGCCACGAGCCUUUAAUUACAGUGGAACUGCUGCCCCUCUGCCCCUGCCCAAUCUUUCCUACUCACUGUCCAGGAAACAAACAGCAGAAUUUCCAGUUUAUAAAAUCAGCUCAAAGUUACGAGGGGUUGUUUUGCUGCCCCUGGUAUCCCGCUCCACUCCUUUUCUCCUUGGCUCGUGGCAGUGUUGGCACUAACUUAACAUGGAGCCCUAAAGCAGGAGUUCCUUGGAGAAAGUUGGGAAGCAGGAAACCCACAAAGGACUGCUAGUUAGUUAUAGGUUAGGUCUUAUGUUCAUAGAGUUCAGGGGUAAAACAGUUGAAAGUUCCUCACCAUGAUGGGUAGAGGCUUAGUAUCCUGCUGUGAUCCAACAGUGUAGGUGCUCAAGUGUGUAAGAUUAUUGAAGAAGAUGAAGGUUGAAGGCGGCCAUACAUGGGGCUAUUGGGUACACGCUUCAACCCACACACAGAGGGGCUUAUUUAUAUGCAUUUAGGCAGUAUCAGAUGUUCAGCUUUUUUUCAGCCAGUUGCAGGUUAAUUGGUUAAUUAUUAUUGCCCAGGAUCAAAUUUGCCCAGUGUUAGUAAAUGUGCCCCAAGUAUGGCCACCUCUCUAUUGUUCUGAUCGUCAGUGCUCUUGGAAUGAAGGAUGAGAACAGAAGGAAGUACAGGGGAACUGCUCUUCACUUUCCCAUCAAAUCUGCACUGAUAUUCUCGGGAUGUGGCUAUUGGUCAGGAUCAGUGGGCCAACAUACAUGUUUUGUACAUGGCCACUUUCAGAGCUCAACUUACACAUGACCAUUUAUAUUAAGUGUGUCAGAGUAAGUAAUGCCAAUCUGCAACUAACCACCGACUGCUUAAACAUUCUGUAACCGCAAAACUAUUUCUCAAAAGCCCAUAACUAAGUGCCUUUGGGCACAAAACUUGUAGGGCCAUUAGGUGUCCAUUUUUUUUAUUCAACUUUAAUAAAGAACAUUUUACCUUUA
Long non-coding RNA from Xenopus tropicalis (tropical clawed frog), 2815 nucleotides. RefSeq lists it as uncharacterized. Lineage: Eukaryota; Metazoa; Chordata; Amphibia; Anura; Pipidae. The transcript is spliced from 2 exons. The record is from RefSeq and is a predicted model, not a curated record.